Molecule: ribosomal RNA, 253 nt
Filed under: uncultured bacterium
Lineage: Bacteria
Description: partial 16S ribosomal RNA
Rfam family: Bacterial small subunit ribosomal RNA
Source: RNAcentral
UACAGAGGUCCCAAGCGUUGUUCGGAUUCACUGGGCGUAAAGGGUGCGUAGGUGGCUGAAUAAGUCUGACGUGAAAUCUCCAAGCUUAACUUGGAAACUGCGUCGGAUACUAUCUGGCUAGAGGAUCGGAGGGGAGACUGGAAUACUUGGUGUAGCAGUGAAAUGCGUAGAUAUCAAGUGGAACACCAGUGGCGAAGGCGAGUCUCUGGACGAUUCCUGACACUGAGGCGCGAAAGCUAGGGGAGCAAACGGG